Molecule: long non-coding RNA, 2653 nt
Organism: Anas platyrhynchos (mallard)
Lineage: Eukaryota; Metazoa; Chordata; Aves; Anseriformes; Anatidae
Source: RefSeq, a predicted model, not a curated record
AGCCCCGGCCGCCGCCGCCGCCGCCUCCUCCCGGGCUCCUCGGACGCCCCGUCCCGGUCCCGGUCCCCGUCCCGGUGCCCGUCCCCGUCCGCGGGCGGCGGGUUGGAGAGCUCCAACUUUUCCACCUUCAACUUUGAAAAGGAAUCACACCGACAUCAAGACGAUGGGAGACUUCCAUAAAAAUAUGAUCUCAUGCCAGCACAGAUUGGCCUGCUGGGAUCCCAGAUGAAGUCUAACAAAAAAGAGAGAAGCGAGCUGGGAUGUGACACCUGCGCUGCUCCCUGUGUGCCCAUGGCAGCCAGAAUCCGGCCCCAGGGAGGAAAGGCACCACGUGGUGGGUGUUAAGAGGGCACCUGCUGCCCAUAACAUCCCCACCACGCGUGGUUGGGAGCCCCAGUCUGAUGCUGCCCAGCUCCUCCACAGCUGGGGCACCACAGAAAGUCUCCUCCUGCCUGAAGCCCCAGCAAGAGACUGGGACCCAGUGCGGUGUGUCAAACUGGUCUGAGCACCAGGGCUGAGUGUCAGGAAGAGUGGUUACCUGUGGCAUCACUCCAGUGGGCUCAAGCUGGAUAAAGCCAGCAUUUUAGACAAUUGCUCUAAUCGCUAGGAAGAAGCACGACAAAAGUUGGUGUAUGGAUAGGCAUUUGGACCUCUAACUCCCAUGGGAAGCUGUUUCCUUUCCAGUCCAAGGAGUCUCAUAUGAGCAAAAGUUAUUACUUCUUUCACCUUUCGUCUGAGUUUAUUUCGAGAAGUGAAGAAUUAGUUGGAGCUCCGUGAGAUGAAAUCUGAACCUUCACCUAUUGCAGGAACCACACAGGUUUGGAAAGGUUUCAGAAAACACUUCUGUUGCUAACUGUAAUUAUUCUUAAAGUCAAGAGCAGAUUCCAAAGUGCUGGGAUCCUUCUUGCAGCAACAAUGUUCAAGGCUUCUUGGCUGUGUGUAGCUUCUAUUGUGUAGCGAGAGGAGAAACAAUUUGGAGCUUUUAGGCAGGGAGUUUGCUUUAGCCUAUCACAUUGCUGCUUCUUUUAAAAUCCUCUGUGGAGAUAGCAGUGAUUCGGUGUUGUAACUUGUUUAUUUCCUUAGACUUAAUACCAUCCAUUUAUAAUUUACCCUAAGGAGCUCAGCUCCACCCUUCUCAAAUACUGUAGCCUGUGAAUUUCCUCACUCCAAAUAGGUUUGGUAUUCUUUCCCCUCACUUACAUUAGCUAAAGAUUCAACUAGUUAAAACAUGCAAACAGACAAAUACACCAAUAGAAGAGCAAAUCUCAUGCCCAGAAGUUGCACGGCAGCUAAGAGCAAAUAAAGUCUGAGUGUGGCUCGACUCUGAUUUAUGGGAAGACUGAAGUGGUGAGGAGGCGAAUGCAUUGUAAAUGCAGUCCUAAAAACACUCUGUAACAGCAGAGUAUGCCAAAACUGAUGCUCCAGUUUAAAUAAGAGAUGUGGAAAGCCCUGAUUUAUAGAUUUGUAUGAUGUUCUUACUUCAGAACCAUAGGAUCACUCAGGUUGGAAAAGACCUUCAAAGUCACCAAGUCCAACCAUCAGCCUGACCUACAGAGGCCCAUCACUAAACCACGUCCCUCGGUGCCACAUUCGUGUGUCUCUCAAAUACCUCCAGGGAUGGGGACUCCACCCCUUCUCUGGGCAGAGUCUCGUGCUGUGCCACCAGGUCCAAAAUCAGCUCUGGUGGCUUUGCCCAGAGGCUCAGGUGAGUUUGCUGAGGGAGCAGUCCCUUCUCCCUAAAUGAAGGAGCAGCACGACAGAUGUGCUUGCUUUGCCAGCUCCUGAUAUGUAAUCGGGGGAUUAAGGGACUAGUUAAUAAGAAAAGAGUGUGGAAGACAGACAUAUUUACCUGGGCUAAGAGACAGGACUGGAACAGGCAGGAGUCCAACACUGCCUUGCAGAAAUUGUAUUCCUGUGGCACAGGAGCGUCAGGAGCAAUGAGGUGACACGUAAGAGGGAAACUAUACUGAAUAUUAGGGUCCCAGUUCUGGUACAGAAGGGUUUCUGUCUGUGAAGCAGCCUCCCAAAAGAAAGAGCAGAAGCAGUGCACAGGAUUGCACAGUGUAUUCAUGGUGUAGGAUGUGUUCUGCUUUUACAUAGGGUAUGGAUAUUGAGUUUGGAUGCUCUCAGUUUCUCCUCUAAUAAUUCCUAAAGCUCUAUUUAACCUUUUGAUUUACCCUUUUGAUACCAAAAAUCAAAUACCAAAAGCAUUUUGAUAACAAAAUGUUUAUACAUUUGAUACCAAAAUGCUGUUUUCCAGAGAUUUGAAUGUCUCCAAAAUCUUUUUUUUUUUUUUUUUUUUUUUUUUUUCUGGCUAUAGCAUUGCAUUAGUAGCAUGUAUUAUUAUGGAGCUAACAUUAGGGUUUUCCCACCAUUUGCCACAACUUUGUGCUUCUCGGUGCAGCAUCGCCUGCCAUUAGGUUGCCCGUUCACUCAGCGCUGCAAGAUGUGUUGUCACCCCUCCAGAAGCUGGUUAGAUUUGAUAGCAUCAGAUUCAUCCAUCCUGGGUAUUUCUGUGCCAUCCACACACCCUCCUGUCCCACUCUUUCCCAGAAGAGGGGACCACUGCUCUGCAGCAGAGCCCCCUGCUGCCUUUUCCUAUGAGCUCUCCAUGCCCUGACUGCACUCAGACACAGAAGCCUUUACACAGAGA